GACGAACGCUGGCGGCGUGCUUAACACAUGCAAGUCGAACGGACAGGCCCUGCUCUUGCUGCGCUCUCGUGUGGCGAACGGGUGAGUAACACGUGUGUAUCCUCCCCUUAACUUUGGGAUAACUUCAGGAGACUCGGGCUAAUACCGGGUAGGAGCUCCUGCAGCAUGGUGGGGGUUGGAAAGUUACGGCUGUUGGGGAUGGACUCGCGGGUUAUCAGCUUGUUGGUGAAGUAGGGGCUUACCAAGGCUUUGACGGGUAGCCGGCCUGGGAGGGUGAACGGGGACAUUGGGCCUGAGGGACGCAGCAGUAGCGUACGGGACGCAGCAGUGGAAAAUAUUACGGAGCGACGCGGAGUCUGAGGUGGAAGCGCUGCGAGCGGGAAGAUGUCUUACGAGUGAAGAACCAAUGUGGAAGGUAACGAAGAGGGCGUGACGGUAAUGGGUAAGAAAGCCACGGCUAACUACGUG
RNAcentral lists this ribosomal RNA (468 nucleotides) under uncultured bacterium. RNAcentral describes it as "partial 16S ribosomal RNA". It matches the Rfam family "Bacterial small subunit ribosomal RNA", at positions 28 to 507 of the family's 1533-position model. The record is from RNAcentral.